Transfer RNA from Toxocara canis (dog roundworm), 72 nucleotides. It matches the Rfam family "tRNA". From Rfam's summary of the family: Transfer RNA (tRNA) molecules are approximately 80 nucleotides in length. Their secondary structure includes four short double-helical elements and three loops (D, anti-codon, and T loops). The record is from Rfam. NCBI's taxonomy places the organism in Eukaryota, Metazoa, Nematoda, Chromadorea, Rhabditida, Toxocaridae.
GCUGCAGUACCUCAGUGGUAGAGCCCCAGCUUCGCAUGCGGAGAGGCCUGGGUUCGAUUCCCGGCUGCUUCC